This 468-nucleotide ribosomal RNA is filed under the name uncultured bacterium. Its description in RNAcentral is "partial 16S ribosomal RNA". It matches the Rfam family "Bacterial small subunit ribosomal RNA", at positions 28 to 507 of the family's 1533-position model. The record is from RNAcentral.
GACGAACGCUGGCGGCGUGCUUAACACAUGCAAGUCGAACGGAAAGGCCCUGCUUUUGUGGGGUGCUCGAGUGGCGAACGGGUGAGUAACACGUGAGUAACCUGCCCUUGACUUUGGGAUAACUUCAGGAAACUGGGGCUAAUACUGGAUAGGAGCUCCUGCUGCAUGGUGGGGGUUGGAAAGUUUCGGCGGUUGGGGAUGGACUCGCGGCUUAUCAGCUUGUUGGUGGGGUAGUGGCUUACCAAGGCUUUGACGGGUAGCCGGCCUGAGAGGGUGACCGGCCACAUUGGGACUGCGAUACGGCCCAGACUCCUACGGGAGGCAGCAGUGGGGAAUAUUGCACAAUGGGCGGAAGCCUGAUGCAGCAACGCCGCGUGCGGGAUGACGGCCUUCGGGUUGUAAACCGCUUUCGCCUGUGACGAAGCGUGAGUGACGGUAAUGGGUAAAGAAGCACCGGCUAACUACGUG